CAGUAGCCACGGGAAUACAGAGGGUGCGAGCGUUAAUCGGAUUUACUGGGCGUAAAGCGUGCGUAGGGGGCUUCUUAAGUCGGAUGUGAAAUCCCUGAGCUUAACUUAGGAAUUGCAUUCGAUACUGGGAAGCUAGAGUAUGGGAGAGGAUGGUAGAAUUCCAGGUGUAGCGGUGAAAUGCGUAGAGAUCUGGAGGAAUACCGAUGGCGAAGGCAGCCAUCUGGCCUAAUACUGACGCUGAGGUACGAAAGCAUGGGGAGCAAACAGGAUUAGAGACCCCUGUAGUCCCUGUCUCUUAUAA
RNAcentral lists this ribosomal RNA (301 nucleotides) under uncultured bacterium. RNAcentral describes it as "partial 16S ribosomal RNA". It matches the Rfam family "Bacterial small subunit ribosomal RNA", at positions 509 to 809 of the family's 1533-position model. The record is from RNAcentral.